GGUACUACUAGUAGCAUUAUGCUCAGAAUAGGAUAAUAAUAACAAGAUAGAGACAUUUGUUUCUUAGUACCGGUAGGUAGUAGAAUAUAUAUACAUCAGCUAGCAGUAUCUUACAGGGCAGUUGCAGAAGAGAAAAUAAUAAAAGGCUAACGAAAUAAUAACUGGGAACGAACAAAAAGAAGGCAAAAACAUCACGGUCGUCACCUGGCACGUCCAUAUAUAAAGUCUACUACUACUAGGUAAUUCAUCACUUGCUAGUUGCUCAUCAGGAUAAGCGUACGUGCGUGCGUGGUACCAGGCCAGCGAGCCGACCGGUAGCGACAACGCCUCUAGGCAGCUAGCGGCGCGCGCGCGCACGUACGUAGGCACGCUGCGUCAUCACGCCGCCGGGCGUCGCGGCCUCGGCGUCACGGCCAGCGGGGCCGCCAUCUCGCACGACAGCCUCAGGGUCUCCCCCAGGUUGACGCCGCGCGCCGGGUCGGGGGAGGGCAGGAACUCCAGCUCGUGCAGCAGCGUCGCCAGCCAGAACGCCACCGUCGCCAUCGCCAGGCUCUUCCCGGGGCAGCUCCUCCGCCCGGCCCCGAACGGCGCCAGGCGGAGGUCUGACCCCAUGACGGAGAGCUCGGCGGCCGGCUGUCCGGCGACGAACCGCUCCGGGCGGAACUCGUCCGGCUCGGCCCACACGUCGGGGUCGUGGGUUAUGGCCCACAUGUUCACCAUGGCUGUGGUGCCAGCGGGGAUGAGGAACCCGUCAACGUGAAUGUCCGAGGUGGCGAGGCGGGCCCAGGAGAGCAGCGGGCCGGGCGGGUGAACGCGGAGUGUCUCCUUGAUGACGGCGUGGAGGUAGGGGAGGGAGGCGGCAUCGGACUCGGUCACGGCGCGGUCGGGCCCCACCGCGCGGUCCAGCUCCUCGUGCACCCGCGCCUGCACGUCCGGGUGCAGCACCAGCCGGGCCAGCACCCACUCCAUCAGCACCGCCACUGUGUCGGUCCCGCGGAACACCAUCUCCUGCACACCAAAGAUGAACGUAUCAGAGGCCUGGAACGAAACGAAACGUGCGUGGCUGUGUACGCUUGGGAGUUGGUUUGGGUUCGGUUGCACACACCCAGAGCACCGCGAUCAUGUCGGCGUCGGCGAGCCUGUCGCCGCCCUGGAGGGAGAGCAGGACGUCGGUGAAGUCCUUGACGGCGGCGGACGGAGCGGCGGAGCGGUGGUCGUCGAUGAUGCGGCCGACGAAGCUGUUCACGAGGGGGACGAGACGGGAGCACCGGGCGCGUGUGCCCUGCGGGUCGAAGCGGGCCAGCCAGGGGAGGUGGUCGGACCAGUUGAGCUGGCCCAGCAGGUCGUAGCCUUCGUCCACCAGGUGGCUCAGCUCGCGGACCUCCUCGCUCUCCUUGCCGGUGCCCAGGUCGUAGCGGCGGCCGAACACGGACCACAUCACGUUGUGCAGCGACGCGCGCCGCAGCACGCGCCGGACCUCGACGCCGGCGCCGGCGCUAGCGAGGGCUGCGACCAUCUGGUGCGCGAUCACAGCGCGCUGGGGAGCUGACGCGGUGACCUGCCACGGGGAGAAGAGGUGCGUGGAGGCGACGCGGCGGAGCGCGCGCCAGUACGCGCCGUGGGGCGCGAAGCCGAUGGCGCGGUGGAACAAGAGCCCGUACGCCGACUCCUUGAUGGGGCGGUCGGCGAAGGCCGGGCUGUAGAGGAUCUCCCUAGCCACGUCCGGGUGCGCGGCGACCACCAUGCGCGUCUCGCCGAGGGAGAAGGCCAUCAGCCUCUUAGCACGGCCGCCCAGGCGCGAGGCCUCGGCGGCAAGCUUGCGGUGGGCGAGGCCGGUCAUGAGCCACAUGCUGCCGAUCAGCGGCAAGCCCCUGGGCCCCGAGACGAGGGAGCCCUUGAGGCGGCGGGUGAGCCACCACCUGCCCCAGGCCGGCCCGCCGGGGAAGCACCAGUGCAGGAGGCAGGUGAGUGCGAAGGCGGCGGCGCAGACCGCGAGGAGGCCGGCGAGGCGGCCGGGGUGAUCGCCGCCGCAUUUGGCGGCGAGCGAAAGGUACAGAAGCCAGCUGGCGGCGCAGUCGUCGGGAGUCGCCAUGGAUUCUUCGCUUGCCUUGCUUUGGUUCGGGUGUUGUUGAGGCUUUUGGGGUGGUGCGUGCGUUGAAGUUGGGGAGUCAUGGUCGGGGCGUGGCCCGGUUUUAUAGCCGCAGGAAAGGCGGCAAGGGCGACGCACACGGGCGGACGGAGGGGAGCUCCAUCGGGGGAGCGGAGGGCGGAUCGAAACCAGGGCGAUCGGUUCAAUUCAAUUUAAUUAAUGGCGUUGAUGAUGAUGGUCCGGCGCAUCAUCAGUGCCGAGAGAGAAGCAGUGCAGGCGUUUCGCUUGGCCAAAUUGAUGAUGGCGGUAACUGCGGGCGUUAGUAGUGGAGGGGCAUCCAAGGACCAAGGCUAGCGCGACGGACGUAGUAGGAGUAGUAGUACGAUAUUUGUGUGAGUUCCGUAUUUGUGUUGGCCUGGCACGCAAAGCGACCGGGACCGGGGGGAACAACGAUCGGCGGUGGAGCGGGAGCCAGCUCCGGCAUGGGGUGGCACGUGAUGGCCAUGCGGUUUUGCUCCGAUCCGGUGGGCAACGAGAAGCGGCCGGCCGAGCUAGCUAGUAGGAGUAGGCAUACACAUGAGGCGCGUGAGCUGCAAGGUCGGUUCGGUUCAGUUCAGUAGCCGUAGCUCCAUCGCCCAUGCCCACUGUGGGGUGCGCGCGGAUUGCGGCGGCACGUCGUCACGCGGGCCUCGUGCGGCGCCACCGGGCCGGGCCUCCCCGGGAGGGAGAGAGGUGACGGCACGUACGCGCGCAUCGAUCACGUUGCUCACCAACCCAUCCAUCCAUCCAUCCAUCCAUCCAGCGAUGAACUGCAGCUACUCCGUAUAGCAGCUACAGCCAGUAUAGCUGCAUCGAUUGGGCCAUACAUGCACGGAAUCGAAUCGAAUAGCCUGAGCUCAACCAUGUACGCUACGUCGUAUGUGGAGCACCGCUGGCAUACGCAUUCUGCAAACAAAUUCGUCCGCGUGCAUGGAGAGGCGAUUAACCUGCCCUCAUUACGGAUUAGGUUCAGGCAGCGGCCGUCACGUCCAAAUGAGGAAAGGGACCCCCAAAUCCCCGGCGCAUCAUGCUAAAACUAGUUUAUAGCGUCAAUGUUGGCGGUUCCAUUAAAUUAACAUAGCAUAGCUAAGACGGGGCUUCAUGGAGGGUCAGCAUAGCAUAGUACUCGUAGCUAUACUACUGGUGCUAGUAGAUACAAGCAUUAUCUUUACCGCCGCUGCAUUGGAUCACAACUUCCAGUUGCGAAAAAGAAUUAGUCAUCCCCGGGCAUGUGAGCAAUGCAAAUGGGAGAAAUAACACAGUUCGAGUGGAACAAAGUCAAGAUGUUGGUGCUCAUAUCGCUCGCUUAUAUUGACUUUACGCCCAGACAGCAGAUGGAUUCAGGCCACAUUGGUCGAUUUCAUUUUUAAACAAGGAGCCUCCUUGGUGUUUUUCAUCAAAGAAAUCGCCAACAGUUUACAAGGUGUUUUUUCUUCAAAAAAUUAUCUACUUAUCUUCAAUCAUGGCGGUACAACGAACACCAGAUAUAAUAAAAUUCACUUCAAGAUCCAUAGACCACCCAACGACGAGUACAAACAAUGAGCGAGCCGAAGACGCUGCGCCAUCAUCGCCCCUCCCUCGCCGGAGCCGGACAAAACUUUUUGUAAUAGACAGUCGAAAAGUCGUCAUGCUACGGCUACCUAGAACCAGGGCACCAGAACAACAACCGCCCACCAAUGAAGAAACGUAUAGAUCGGAAGGAUCCAACCUGAAAGCACACGAACAUAGACCGGAUCCGAGUAGAUCCACCGCCGCUGCAUUGGAUCACAACUUCCCGCUGCGAAAAAGAACAACACUGGGUAUGUGAGGAAUGCAAAUGGGUGAAACAGCAGAGUGGAUCCAACAGCUCGAUUCAUGCCACAUUGGUUGAAUUUUAUUUUUAAACAAGGAGCCUCCUUGGCGAUUUUCAUCGAAGAAACUGCGAACAGUUUACAAGUUGUCUUUUUCUUUGAAAAACUUUUGCUGGUUAAUUGAAUGUGUGAUGCAAAUUGGUUUACAAAGUGCUUAAAAACAUACUACCUCUAUAAUAUAUUUAGUUACUAAGGUAGGAGAGUGGAUUUUUUUCGCUUUCAAGCUCCAUGGCGCCCUUUAUUUUCAAACAUUCAAAAAUCAUUUGUUUAAGUUUUAAAAAAAAUAAAAGAGUUAAGAAAUUCUGAAAAAUACACAAGUGGUUAUAGAUGUAUAAUAGAUUUGUGUGAAAUUCCAGCACGAAAUACUUCUUUAUGUGGCAUGUACACAAAAAAAAAUCAUGUGGUUUUAGUGAAUAGUACAUGUGCUAGAAAAUACGUGAUUUUGUCAUUUUUCUGUACCUCACGUAAAGAAAGGUAUUUCAUCAUGAAACUUUGCAGACGAGUAGUAUACAUCUAUAUGUAUAUGUGUAACUUUUUUCCAGCAUUUUCUGAAACUGAAACAAUUAUUUUAAAGUUUUCAAAUAAAGAGCUUCAUGGAGCUCGAGCUCCAUUAGGUAUUUCUGCAGAGGCAGUACAAAACAAAGGAAAAAGGAGUAAGCAAGGAGGGGUAACUCACUCCACCCUCUUGACGAGACCCUCUGGCCCAUCCAAGCAACCUAGACGACACUUUUCUACUUAUUACUGCCUUUGUUUCAAAAUAUAAGGUGUAUUAGUUUUUUUUAAAUCAAACAUUUGCAUGUUUGACCAAGUUUUUAGAAAAAAAUCAAUAUCUACAAUACAAAAUUUGUAUCAUUAGAUCCAUUUUGGAAAUUAUUUUAAUAUUUUAUUUGUUCUGUAUUGUAGAUGUCUAUAUUUUAUUCUAUAAUAAUGGUUAAAUAUAUAUGUUUAAUUUACACAAAAACUAAUGCACCUUAUAUUCUGGAACGGAGGGAGUAUAACAUAAGCACAUGAAGCUAAAAUACACAUAAAAAGCUCAUAAACAAUUCUCUACAAAAGCUCAAGGCACCUCAAAAAAGCCAAGCAAUAUUAGAUGAAUUAGCGACAACAUCAAUUCACCGUGAUCACGAGCACCGUAGAAUUCCUGCCAUGUCUCCUUGCGAAGUUCUGCUGAAGCAACUUCUUAACCAUCUACACUCCUUCAAUUCUUUCUACCUAACGACUUUUCUCCAAGACACUCCACUAGCUUCACUUAACAAAUAGGAUGUCAAUGGGUCCGGUAUGGGACAAUUACAACAAUGUCAUACCCAUACCCUACAUGCUCAUAGGAAUCAAUGACCCUGUUUGUUUCAGUUUCAGUUGGCUUUGGAUCACCUAUGAAUUCGCUUCACGCAAAGCUGAAUUAGGUUUGCCAUUGAAUUACACCUGGACAUGCUUCAAGCAAUUGCCCUAAAAAUGGUGUGAAUCCAUAUUCAGUUUCAUUGGCAAAGCUGAUUCCAAAUGGUUGUUAUUCUAGCUUCUGAUUUUUUUUUCUACAAGAAUCUGGUGCCUAAAGUUAAAACAAAUAGGGCCAAUGUAUGCCCAUCAUACCCUAGCCCACGGGUACAAAACCUUGUUUGUACCCAUACCCGAUGGGUAUCAAUGCCCGAUGGGUACCCAACAGCAAGCUCAACACACUUGAAGGAAUAUAUAUCAUCCGAUAGUAUUUUUAAGAAAUGCAAAAAUUGAACUCGUUUUAUAACAUGAUCAAACAAAAAAGAUUUCAAUAUUUCAGAGUAGAAGACUUCAGUUGUUUAAACAAAGGGUUUGUUGUACAUUCACGCAUCAUACAGUUAAAGUGUAUGACUUAACUUAAUAGUCUAGAAACUCAAACAAUAGUUUGGCCACGCAUAUUAGCUUGUCUGAUUGGGCUCCGCAUACUGUGGGCAAAGAGUUAUACUACCUCUAUCUAGGUGUGCAGAGUGCCGCCCGAUCCGCCCCGCACUAGAUUUACCGUAGUUAUUAGUUCUCCCUUUAGAUUUAGUUCAAUUUGAACUAACCCUCUAUUGAUCCAGGACUAUGUGGGAUGUCCGCCCUACCAUAUACCCUACCCACGAUUAGUCGGGUAGGAUUCGGACGGCUGCCUAUGAGCACAAAUUGACAUAUCUCUUUGGCCUUGUAGCUACCAGGGUGCUUUCUUUGAUCUGGCCGGAGAAGGCCGUGCAAUUAUUUCCCUUUGUAUACCAUACACACUCCAGUGUACGUACGUACGUACCACAGGUCGCAGUCAUGUCCGUGCUGCGUGCUUGCCUGGGCCUACGCCUUAACGGAGUACUACUAUCAAAUUGAUGUCAGUCCCUUUUCUAAAAAAAUCAAAUUGAUGUCAGUACAGGCAUCGGUGCGUAAGUAAAUCGUUAGUCAAGCCAGGCGCGCAGCUGUCAGCACGCGGGUAGAGCCAUUGCUGCAAGAUCGCAGCCAAAUUGCCCGCCGUCGCUGUCCCGUCCUAGUGUGGCGAGAUUUGAACUCCGCGCUUAAAUAUUCGAUGUCCCCCCAGACAUCACCGUCACGUAUAUGUAGUUUGCACUUGAAAUCGAAUCCCCGAGAUGGACGUGUUUGUUGCGCCCGCCCGUUCUCACCGGUCGAUCACGUAAACGUAAGGGUGAUGAGGCCGUGAGGUAAGGGCAACUCCGACGCGCGACCGCAAAUAGUCCGGCCGCGUUCGUUCGGGGAUGAAUAGACAGAAAACGCGGCCUAACGCGCAGGAGCAAACGGACAAAUGUCCGUUUUCGUUCCGCUUUUUACCCAUUCCUAGCCUAAAUUUCGGCCGGGCUCACGUCGAAAUAGACAUCGCACGGAUGGGCGGGACGCACGCCCUUGUCCUUUCCUGCCCCGCCCAUCUGGGACACACCGGGCCCACUUUCCCUCUAAUUCGCCCAAAACCCUCCAGCGCCCUCCUCCCCUCGCUCUUCUAGGGCCGGUGCCCCAACGAAUCUAGGCGACCCGGCCACGGCCGCGGGCGGAGCUUAGGCCGAUGGAGCUUACCAAGCUCGACGCCGAAUCGACCAAGAGGAGGAACCAGCGGACAAAGGUGGCAGAGAAGAGGGCUGUUGCCGGCUACGCCGCCGAGGUGGCCGUGAUGCGUGUCGUGCAACACCAGGCUAAUGUCGACGAUAAGGAGUCCAUCGCCGCCAAGGUGCACGCCCUCCUCAUGUUACGGUUGUGCUGACCCCCGGCGGUCAUUCUCUCAGUCGCUCCCAUAGCUGCGGCUAGCGCAGGCUUGUUGGUCAUCCGUCUACAGUCGUACAGGUCCCCGAGCUCGUCAUCACACCUGAGAGGCCCGGGUAUCAUGCGCCUCCGCUGCAUGGCCAUGGCCAGACCCGGUUUUCCACAUUGCUGGACGACAGCGUGGUCGUGCCACCCACCCCCGUCAUCUCCACUGUCGGUGUCAUCGACCUCAAUGUUACGCCCGGGGACAGUGGCGCUGGCCAGCCAUCCGACGAGACGCAAAGGAAGCAUCCCCGGUCGAUUCCUACGGCCAACCUUGCCGGUGCCUGAAAGUUGUUCGAUGAAAUGCCACUGCCGACGCCGACAGUCGACGACCCUGACUACGUCGCGUUCAUGGAGACUGUCAUCUUCGAGGGUCAUGAUGAGGCCUUCAACAUCGACGACCAAGGCCAUGCUUUCGGUCCCGAGGCAACCCAGAGCCAGGACGACCGCGGCCAGUAUGGUGAUGACUUAUUCGGUGGCCUUGAUGAAGAUGAGAUCGAUGACCAUGGCAACUCAUGGCAUGAAGAUGAUGACUUGUAUUGCGAAGAUGAGGAAGAAGAGGUUGACAUUGCGGAGGAGCCAUUGGUGUUUAUCGAUGAGCUCACCCAAAGGGCCGACGCACAAAAGAGGGGGCAAAGCCUUCACACGGGAUCAUACACCCAAGAGGAGGAAACCUUGAUUUGCGGGAGCUGGGUGGAGAUAGGCCAAGAUUCCAUGAAGGGUGCCGAGCAAAAAGGAUUGGACGAGAGUUCACAAAACCUUUCAUGAGCGAAGGAAGUUUGCCCCUACCAAUUUGCGAAGCACUCGCAGCAUCAACUCAAUCCAAAAGAGAAGGGGGUUCAUUCAACAAGAGUGCAACAAGUAUUGUGCCGCGCUUGAGAGCAUCCAAGCCCGUCCCUUGAGUGGCCUAGGCGUUGGUGACUUGGUAUGAACCACUCGUAUUUUUCAUUGCAUGCAUUGUUUAUGUUUUCAUGCAUCUUGCGUUAUUCGCUAUUACAUUUGCGGCAUCAUCUUUGAUUGUGUAGGCAUUCCAAUCUUGGAAGCCUUCAAUACCCGCCACAAGAACAUGCCAUUUACUCUCACACAUUGUUGGGUGCUCAUCAAAGAAUAUCCCAAGUUCAAGGACCAAUAUGCCGCUCAUAGGAAGAAACGGGGGAAGGCGGUCGUGGCUGAGGAGGGAUACUUGCUUAAGAGGCCGAGGGGCAAGACCAACUUGAAGGCAGACAAGAAGCAUGAUGUGUCAUCUAUGGCCUUGCAAGCAACUUUGGAAGGCAUGAUGAGUCAAAAAGAAGUGAGGGAGGAGAGGAGGAGCAAAGGAAAGGAGGAGCAAAUGAAGAUAUACAUAGAGCUCCAAACCAAGAAGCUUGACAUAGAGGAGGUCGCGAAGAGGAGGAAGCUUGACAUUGAGGUGGCCGUUGAAGCUCGCGAUCAAGGCCACCAAUGUCGAAACCAAAGCAAAAGAGGUGGCGCUCACCAUCAUGAGCGUCGACAAGACCAACAUGUUACCAGAGAGGAAGGCUUGGUUCGCGAACCGGCAGAAGGAGAUGUUCGCCCGAGACGGCCUGAACUAGGAGAGACCUCGGCCGUGGAUAAUGGUCAUUCAUUUGGAAGGCCAGCUAGUGUGUCAGGCACGGGCUUUGUUGCCGGCGCCUAAAAUUUCUUAAUUUGAAGGCUGGCUAGUGUGUCGGGCGCUGGCUUUGUUUCAUGCAUCAUAAACUUGUUCAUUUUGAAGGCUGACUAGUGUGCCGGUCGCUGGCUUUGUUGCCGGCAUCAAACUAGGGGUGACCAUUCUGCAGGUCGCUGGCUUUGUUGCCGGCCGGCAUGAGCCAUGGCUGCUGGUGUCAACUAUGCCUGCUGGCAUUUGUAGCUACAUCUUUUUGGUGUUUGAAAAAUAUGCAUGCAGCCGGACAAGAUACGACCAAAGAUGCGGCCGCGCGUUAGGCGCAUGGCUGACACAUCCACAAAUCCGGGCGGACGUAGCCCCAUUGCCACCGCCAAACGAACGAAAUCCGGAUAAAGCUGGAGUUGCCCUAAGGCCAACUCCAAUGGGCUACCCCAUUUUAUCUACUCGCGUCAUCCAUUUAGAUAUCAAAAUGGACAUGAUCGUCAACCCAACAAGAGAGAGCAAACCAAAAAACGUUUGCCUCGUGUCCAUUCUGACCCAAACUGGGUGCAUUAUUGGGCCUGCUUUGCAUCCAUACAGACACUGAGUGAACCCGUACGUGUUGGAUCGUGGUCUGCCUUCGACCCCCAUGUCAUCCCCCAACCACUCUCCAUCGGCCCCAAUAAAUCACACGGGUGCACAUGGCCCACGACGCGUCCUUUUUAAUGGCAAAUCCAUGGACCGACCAACCCACUUCCUAGCCGCGUCCACACACUUCCACUCCCCUGCCCACUCCUGCCCCGACCUGCAAACCCUAGCACCGCUCAGCUUGCCCAUCCUCGCUCCUCACCAGCCUCCGGAAUGGGAAUGUGGAAAUGUGUGCCAGGCAAGAAGGCGAAGCAUGACCACGAGGCAGGGUCGUCCUCCGCGUCGUCGGGCAGCGUCGUCGUGUACUCCACCUUGCCACCCGCAUUCCCCAUCUCUCCUCCGGCAGCCCUCCAUGAUUCCGAUCAUACGUGAAGGUGGAGAUAUGCCGGCACUACUGGAAGACCGGCACCCCGCUGCCGUGGUCCGAUGCCCACCUCCCCAAUGGGUGGCAGCUAAGACAGGAUCACGUGUUGAUCCCGACUGUCUUAGCGACCAGCUGCCUGCCUCAUGGAGAUCAACUGAUGGCGCAUUCACAUCCCGCACCACCUCCUCACCGACCCAUGGUACGACGUGUCCUCGCGGCUCUGGGAUGCUUGGUUCCAGGACGAGCACGACAUGCGCCGACAAACGUUCUUUGCCGGUCGUGCCCGUAGUCCAUCCCUGCCACCACCACCACCUCCCACCAUGACCACCGAAGAGGAGGAGCGGCUGGUGCAGGCUGUGAUGGAGGACUUCGAGAGGGAGUUCAAGCACAAGCAUGAGGAGGAGUGGGAGGGAUUGGAGGAUAUGACAACGUUGUCGGCCGCCAACGAUUGCUACGUCUCCAAGCUCGACGUGAAGCAGGAGGUGAAUGAGGGGGUGAUGGAGGAUCGUACCUCCACCUCGAAGUGGAACCCGGCCUUGUACGGGUAGUCGUGGUCGUAGACGACCACGGUGCCAUGCAGCCCGCCCUCACCAUCACCGGCAGCGCCGGCGGCCUAGUGGGCGCCAUGGUCACUACCUCCGCCACCUCCGCCACAACCUGCAUCGCAAUGGCAGCGAUAGGAGGCGCCCUCUGGCCGCCAGCGUCCACGGCGGCGGGCAAAUAUUCUUUUUUCUUUCUAUUUUUAAAUUAAAUUGUAAUAUGCAGCUGUGACUUUUAUGGACUUUCUAAUAAGUUUAUCGUAAUAUAUGUCCGUUUUUAAUUAUUUUGCAAUGCCUUUUUUAAUCCAGACCAAACAUAUGUUUUAAGAUGCGGCGGCUGGUUGGGCGCACUUGUGGGCAGAUGGUUAAAACCAGACACGUCUGUUUUGCCAACGCAAACGGACGUAAGCCGAACAAAAGAACCAUUCGUUGGUCUCGACAUAGUUGGCCUAAGAGCAUCUACAGCCACUGACGGCAAAUUCGACCCCUCAAACGCCCGCAGACGCAUCAGGGCCAUGUCUGCGGACAGUGACCCGUCACGCCUUAAAUUUGCUCCUCUGCAUCCGGAUACCUCAUAUUACAAAUCUUAAAUCCAUACAAAAACAUGCAAAGGAUAAAUCCACGUACUACGUAGAUCAACUACUCUAAUCCUCAUCGGAGAUGUUCACGAUCUCCGUGCCGGGCUCCGGGUUAAUGGGCGGCAGCCGCAGCUCCGACUCCUACGGCUCCUCCGGCUGCUCUGCCUCGGCCUCCGCCUCCAUCUUCGCUUCCACUUCAUCGAAGAGCGCGUCGGUCGCCGAGAGUUCUUGCCAGAUGAACUGUCGGUUGGCCUCAACAUAGGCCUCAUCCUGGAUGGAGUCCAGGAUGGCCUGUUGCUCCACCAUCUCGGCCACUUGGGUGACUGCGAACUCCGCCUUCACGUCCUCCAUGUUGAAGCCUAGAGCCGGCGACUCCUCCUCCUCCGUCUGCUCCGCCUUGCCCUCCUCCGAAUCCGCCACCUCCAUCGGAUCCGGCUGUUGCUCCUCUUCUCCUCAUCCUUCGCUUGCUCCUCCUCCCCCUCCUCCGGUUUCGCCGAGUUCGAAGGCAGGCCGUUAGCGAUGCGAGUCGCCUCGCCCGGAUCUCCUACUUUAUCUGGAACUCCGGUGCGAGCAUAACAUACAUGGUUAUCUUUUGCCAAACCAUGGCGAAGCCGGAGAGCGUGGGAAGAGUGGCAGAGCGGGAGAGAGGUGGAUGGGCUCGGGCUGGCGGCGCAGAGAGGGAAGAGAUGGAUGUGGUUAGGGUUGGCGGACACGUGCCUGCUUACAUAGCCGGAAUUGGCCUCGAGUGGCGAGCCGGAGCGGCACCACGCGACGUUCACACCCCUUACGUAAGGAGACAUCUGGCGAACCGAUGGGUUUUCGGAAGAUUCCAUGUGGGACCCCAUCACCAGUCCAACAUGACGGACGCAUAUCCGCCUCAUAUUUGGAUUGAAUACGAGAGAUGUCGGUCAGUCAAGAUGCUUGAGGCCCGCUUAAGAUGUUUGACUAAAUCGAAUUUUCGUGACCGCAGCCCGGCGUUUGAACCGGGUUUGGGGCGGCUGUAGAUGCUAUGAGGCCAGGCGGGCCGGCGUGGAUGAGCCGAGCGGCCAGGCAGAGCAGGGCCCGUUGGUUCUAGAGCAGUUCUGCCAGCGAGGGCAUCCGAGCGUGCCAGGAGCGAGCACUGCAGCGCACUGUUGGCGUCUGCCGUCUGGCCGGACAAUUCGACGGCGACGUUGCCCCGGCGUCGACCCGUCGGCUCAGGUUCAGGUGCGACAUGAGAAUUGCACAGCAAGGUGGGCCCCGAAGUCAGCAGACUGUGUGGUUCUUUUUCGCCGAUGUGAUGUGUUGUGGGCGCAGCAGCCACAGAGCUUUAACCUCCAACAAGUAUAGAGUACGUACUCUAGUACUACCACUCCUACUUCUCUGCAUAUCAGGACAAUACUCUUGGUACCAUGGUAGUACUAUGCCACGUAGUAGUGGCAUACUCCUACUACAGUUUUACAGCUAGAUAGGUUUGGCCUGCCUGGUCGAUCGAUGAACGCAACCCAGCGCUGUGUCAUGGUGACUUCGCGUUUUCGUCUCCUGUUACUGAAAAGUUGGCCAGGUAAGGUCAGGUCAAGUCCGCCGUUGCCGUUGUCGUGUGCCGGACCAUGGUCGGGGCCGGUAGACUCGGAAAAACGGCGGGUUGAUUGCGCCGGAAAGGUUGGCGCACCGACCGGACAGCCGAGGUCAGCCGCACGAUCCGGACGGUGGACGGCUCGAUUGUAGUGAGCCGAAACGGCUUGGAAUCUGAUUCCGCAACUUCAACGACCACUGCGCCUCGUGCGUUUUUAGAGAAAAGGCCAGAGCCCGACUUUAUAAAUAAAGCCACCAGACAGAAUCAUAACCAUUCACAACAAGCAUCCACACAAAACACGCAGAGUAUCAACCGGACCUCACAUGCUAAAGUAGAACGCACAUGGCUCCCAGGCCAGUACACGGCACGCAGGUCGGAGAGACACAAGACAACAACAUCAGGGCCAACAACUCCUAACUGCCGGCUUGAACUGGAGAAAGGGAGAUAGCAAAAGCUCGGAUCUUGGAUAUCAUCAUAUCGAGCGCAUCCCUGUCCUCCUCCUUAAUCAAUAAUCUCCACUGCUGCAAGAAUAUGCAAGUUUUAAAUAAGCAAUCAGCAGGAAAAACAAGUUCAAUAGUAAAUUUGUUUCUUGUCGUCCAAAGAGUCCAGCACAUCGCUGCAAAGCCCACCCAAAACAUUCUCCUCUGGGCCCCAACCAGGUUGUUGGCCAAGAGUCGAAGGUCUGAGAAGGAGGACGGUCUCCAGGACACAUUCAUCCAAGAUCUGACACAACACCAGAAUAGUUUAGCCAGUACACAAUUAAAGAAGAUAUGCAUCGUGUCUUCUCUUAACCCACAGAGGGCGCAACGGUCAGAACCAAAGCCAUUAUGUUUGCGGAUCUGGUCACCAGCCGGCACCCGCCCGCGAGAAGCUUGCCAGAGGAAAAUCUUGAUCUUAGGAGGGAUACGAGCCCUCCAGAUCCACUUUAAUUUGGAAGUGGUGGUGCCCGAGAUCAGCUUACCAUAUAACGAUUUCACAGAAAAACGACCAGAAGGGGAGUGGGGCCACACCACCGAGUCCUCCUCCUUCGAGAGCACAGGGAAGAAGGCAACAAGGCGCUGCCAGUCAACCAACUUUUCAGGAGAAAGAGAGCGACGAAGACGCAGAUCCCAAUUAUUGGCAGAGAGCUCAAAGAUUGAGAUCUCGGGGUCAGGACAAUAAGAAAAAAGAACAGGAAAAGAGUUUGCCAACGUAGUCGAACCACACCACCAAUCAAGACAAAAUCUAGUGGAUCUGCCGUUGUGAACAAGAAACUUGACGAGGCCUUGGAAAAUUGGCCUGAGUUUAACAAGGUCUUUCCAGAACUGAGAAGCCCCCGAGGCGCGAGCAAACAUAGGGCUAGAAGAAGGGAGAUACUUAGCUUUGAGGAUGUUGAACCAAAGAGGUUUAUCUGUGGUCAUGAUCUUCCACCACCAUUUGAUGAUCAAGCAUUUGUUUAUGACAAGAGUAUUAAUAAUGCCCAGCCCCCCAAGGCUUUUUGGUCCGCAAAUAAUGUCCCAUUUGAUCAUGCGAUAUUUGCGUCUGUUGUCAGCCGCGCUCUAGUAAAAGGCACCUCUAGGUUUGUCAAACCCAGCGUGAGUGCCCAUCGUAAGUAGAUAAAAUCCCAUAAGGAACAUUGGGAGGGAAGUAAGGCAGACAUUAAUCAAGGCAACUUUACCAGCCUGGGUAUUAUAUCUACCCCUCCAGGGCAUGAAACGAUUGCCAACUUUGGCCACCGCAGGAGCAAAGUCUUUAGACAAUAGUUUGUCGGAGGUUAUAGGAAGACCCAGAUACUUAAGAGGGAAGGAGCCAAGAGAGAAAUUCAGUAUGCGGGCAACAUGCAGCGCCUCGAUUUCUGGGACCCCAGUGACAAUGACUUCGCUUUUGGAGAAGUUGAUUUUCAGACCAGAGAUAGCCUCGAAGCAAAGAAGAAGAAAUUCGAGGUGGGCAAGGCAGUGAUUAGUAAGUUCCACCAUAAUAAUUGUGUCAUCAGCAUAAUGAAGGUGGGUAAUCCCUUGUGGAAUAAGAUGAGAGCCAACAGGAGUAAUGUGGCCAGCCCCCGCAGCCCUAGACAGAAUAUUAGAAAGGGCGUCCGCCACAAAAUUGAACGGGAUGGGAGAGGCCGGGUCACCUUACCUCAGGCCUCUAGAGUUCUUAAAAAAAUUGCUAACUUUCCCAUUAACAGAAAUAGCAGUAUGGCCACCCACGACCAACUGCAUGAUUCAAUGAACCACACCAGCGUCAAAGCCUUUAGCCAACAAAACUUGUCUUAAGAAGCCCCAAUUCACAAAGUCAUAGGCUUUCUCAAAAUCCAGCUUAAGAAUAACAACCUUGCUGCCUGAUUUGUGAAUAUCAUGAACGAUCUCAUGUAAACAGAGGACCCCAUCAAGGAUAAAACGCCCCUUGACAAAGGCAGAUUGGGUUGCAGAGAGGGUACGAUGAGCCACAGAAGUAAGACGCGUAGCCAAGCAUUUGGCGGGGAAUUUGGCAAAGUUAUUGAUAAGCGCAAUAGGCAUAAACUGGGAGAUGAGCUCCGCACCCUUAAUCUUAGGAAUGAGAGAGAUAACCGCAUACUUGAGCCUAGAAAUGUCCACCAUCCCCAAACAGAACCCUUGAAUAACCGCACAAAUAAGAUUCUUGAGUUGAGGCUAGAAAGUUUUGAAGAAAGGAAUAGAGAAGGCAUCUAGGCCAGAUGCAGAAUUAGAAUUAUCUUUGUUAAUAGAGAUAAAAAUCUCCUCUUCAGAGAAAGGAACCAUAAGAGCAAGGUUUUCAUCCUGGGACACCCAGUCCCCUUGGUUCCAAAAGGAAGAAGAUAUUCUGAGCCCCAGAUCAGGUUUGGCAGAGAGAAGGGAGGAGAAGAAAUCAACUAUGUGAUUCAUGAUGAUGCCUUGGUCUGAAACCCUGACCCCAUCGAUCAUCAAGCUUUCAAUCAUACAUCUAUGCCGCCUCCCGUUGGCAACGGCAAAAAAAUAAGCAGUGGGGGAAUCUCCUUUAAGCAUCCAGUUGAUCGUGCCCCUCUGACGCCAAUAUAAUUCCGCAAGACAAUGCAGAUGCACCAGAGAUUGCUCAAGGGAAAAGCGCAAGGCCCAUUCAGAAUCAUACAAGCUAGAAGAAUCAGCCCGAGAGUCUAAAGGAUCAAUCUGAGCCACGAGGAGGGCUUUAUCUCUUCGUUCUUGCGCCGUGUCAUUACGAGACCAGCCACGUAGAAACUUGCAUAGAGAAUACGAGCAAUGGUGCCAGUCAUCCAUGGAGCCGAAGGAGCAACGAGCAAUCAAGAGAAUAUCAGAAAUUCUAGAACCGAGGAGGUCACGAAAGCCUUCGAUAAGGAGCCAAGAAGCAUCAAAUUGGAACCGAAGAGGAGUGGAAGCGCAGUGAAGCCCCGCAUCAAGAAUGAGUGGAGCAUGGUCCGAGCCUACGCUGGCCUUUGUUUUGAGAGUGGUAAGCGGGAAAAGGGAGUCCCAACUCAGGCGGACAAAAACACGAUCCAAGACAGAGCGAAUAGGAGAGACCUUAUGAUUAUUCCAAGUAUACCUAGAUCCCACCCUCGGAAUCUCACGAAGAGCGCAAGCACUAAUAAAAUCGUUAAAAGCAUCAGCCAGCGCCUAGGAAAAGUUAUUGGUGUUCUUAUCGGUCUGAUAGCGCAGUAAGUUGAAAUCACCACCAAUCAGGAGGGGAAGGGUGCAGGAUUCGACCUUAUUAGAGAUUUCGUCCAGAAAAAAGGGGGAAAGGGAAUGGUCCGCAGGGCCGUAAACCACCAUUACUUCCCAGAGAGUAUUGAGUUGGUGGUGGAACACAACAGAACUAGCCCAAAAAAUACCAUGGUUGAAGGUUACAAAGUCAAAAACAUCA
This 16336-nucleotide long non-coding RNA is filed under the name Triticum aestivum (bread wheat). RNAcentral's name for it is "long non-coding RNA (TAES_LNC007633)". Lineage: Eukaryota; Viridiplantae; Streptophyta; Magnoliopsida; Poales; Poaceae. The record is from RNAcentral.